Cryptotermes secundus is the source of this 419-nucleotide long non-coding RNA. RefSeq lists it as uncharacterized. The record is from RefSeq and is a predicted model, not a curated record. The transcript is spliced from 2 exons. Lineage: Eukaryota; Metazoa; Arthropoda; Insecta; Blattodea; Kalotermitidae.
GUGGUACAUGUGACUGUUCCUAAGAGAAUAAUUCCUACCAUCUCCAUUGGACACAACACUAUCAUCAUGAGUGUUAGCAUCAGUGGUUUUUAUCGUCUGAAUGACAGAUCUGAUGAGGACUGCAAGGUGAAAUAUGUCAGCCAUUGCAUUAUCAUCAUAUCAGGUCAGGCAGGUACUAUAAUUUUUCUUUACAAAUAAAAUAUUAGAUUACAUCUUGAACUAUAACAUUUAGAUGCAAUAUUAUAUUUUGAAUUUACAGUGUUGAAGGAAACCAAGAAUUGUGUGUAAACUCAAUGGAUCCAUCAUUCUGAUGUUGGAUUAUAUCUUUCACUAACAGAUCUUCUGCUGAUGGGCAAAGGUGGUGCUAUGAGAUGAAUGCAUAUCUUCAGUGGGAAUGUUGCUCAUCAAACUCUGCUCUU